AAACUUUCAACAACGGAUCUCUUGGUUCCGGCAUCGAUGAAGAACGCAGCGAAAUGCGAUACGUAAUGUGAAUUGCAGAAUUCAGUGAAUCAUCGAGUCUUUGAACGCACAUUGCGCCCCCUGGUAUUCCGGGGGGCAUGCCUGUCCGAGCGUCAUUU
Molecule: ribosomal RNA, 158 nt
Filed under: Penicillium infrapurpureum
Lineage: Eukaryota; Fungi; Ascomycota; Eurotiomycetes; Eurotiales; Aspergillaceae
Description: 5.8S ribosomal RNA
Rfam family: 5.8S ribosomal RNA
About the family: 5.8S ribosomal RNA (5.8S rRNA) is a component of the large subunit of the eukaryotic ribosome. It is transcribed by RNA polymerase I as part of the 45S precursor that also contains 18S and 28S rRNA.
Source: RNAcentral